GUAAACAUAGUGAGACUUUUGAAACAUUGAAAUGCGGGGAAAACGCGGAUUUCAGUCAGCUAAAGCGAUCCAGCGUUACAUCAAGGUUUUUUGACCCACAGAAGACGAUGGAAAGCUGCCUCACCAAGACACCAGACGCUGGAUCAUCUAUAUUUGCAAUCGCAGACGCAAGACAUGUGUUCAGGUUUUGAACAUGAUGUCUCCAGCAAGGAUAUGUUUGAUGAUGGUUACCAUGGGAACAAACUCAGACCUAUGUCAAAAAUGUCAUUUUCUGAUAGAAUAGACAUAAUGCUAUCCAUUUCACUUGAUUUUAGAAUUUUUAAAUUAUUCUGAUGUCAGCCAUACACUUCCGGGUUCUCUACAGGUUUUAAAUAUGAUGUCUCCAGCAAGGAUAUGUUUGAUGAUGGUUACCAUGGUAACGAUCUCACAGACCUAUGUCAAAAAUGUCUUUUUCUGAUAGAAUAGACAUAAUGCUAUCCAUUUCACUUAAUUUUAGAAUUUUUUAAUUAUUCUGAUGUCAGCCAUACACUUCCGGGUUCUCUACAGGUUUUAAAUAUGAUGUAUCCAGCAAGGAUAUGUUUGAUGAUGGUUACCAUGGGAACGAUCUCACAGACCUAUGUCAAAAAUGUCAUUUUCUGAUAGAAUAGACAUAAUGCUAUCCAUUUCACUCAAUUUUAGAAUUUUUUAAUUAUUCUCAUGUCAGUCAUACCUUUCCAUUUUUUGUUUACAGGUUUUGAACAUGAUGUCUCCAGCAAGGAUAUGUUUGAUGACGGUUACCAUGGAAACGAACUCACGGACCUAUGUCAAAAAUGUCUUUUUCUGAUAAAAUAAAUAUAAUGCUAUCCAUUUCA
This is a long non-coding RNA of Ostrea edulis (European flat oyster), 851 nucleotides long. RefSeq lists it as uncharacterized. The transcript is spliced from 2 exons. The record is from RefSeq and is a predicted model, not a curated record. NCBI's taxonomy places the organism in Eukaryota, Metazoa, Mollusca, Bivalvia, Ostreida, Ostreidae.